AUUGAACGCUGGCGGCAUGCUUUACACAUGCAAGUCGAACGGUAACAGGUUAAGCUGACGAGUGGCGAACGGGUGAGUAAUGCAUCGGAACGUGCCCGGUCGUGGGGGAUAACGCAGCGAAAGCUGCGCUAAUACCGCAUACGAUCUGAGGAUGAAAGCGGGGGACCGUAAGGCCUCGCGCGAUCGGAGCGGCCGAUGUCAGAUUAGGUAGUUGGUGGGGUAAAGGCUCACCAAGCCGACGAUCUGUAGCUGGUCUGAGAGGACGACCAGCCACACUGGGACUGAGACACGGCCCAGACUCCUACGGGAGGCAGCAGUGGGGAAUUUUGGACAAUGGGCGAAAGCCUGAUCCAGCCAUGCCGCGUGUGUGAAGAAGGCCUUUUGGGUGUAAAGCACUUUAAGCGAGGAGGAGGAGCUUCAGGUUAAUACCCUGGAUGCUUGGACGUUACUCGCAGAAUAAGCACCGGCUAACUCUGUGCCAGCAGCCGCGGUAA
Molecule: ribosomal RNA, 494 nt
Filed under: uncultured bacterium
Lineage: Bacteria
Description: partial 16S ribosomal RNA
Rfam family: Bacterial small subunit ribosomal RNA
Source: RNAcentral